RNAcentral lists this ribosomal RNA (253 nucleotides) under uncultured bacterium. Its description in RNAcentral is "partial 16S ribosomal RNA". It matches the Rfam family "Bacterial small subunit ribosomal RNA", at positions 524 to 776 of the family's 1533-position model. The record is from RNAcentral.
UACGUAGGGGGCAAGCGUUAUCCGGAAUUACUGGGUGUAAAGGGAGCGUAGACGGUAAUGUAAGUCUGGAGUGAAAGGCGGGGGCCCAACCCCCGGACUGCUCUGAAAACUAUGUUACUAGAGUGCAGGAGAGGUAAGCGGAAUUCCUAGUGUAGCGGUGAAAUGCGUAGAUAUUAGGAGGAACGCCAGUGGCGAAGGCGGCUUACUGGACUGUAACUGACGUUGAGGCUCGAAAGCGUGGGGAGCAAACAGG